This is a long non-coding RNA of Astatotilapia calliptera (eastern happy), 754 nucleotides long. The record is from Ensembl. Lineage: Eukaryota; Metazoa; Chordata; Actinopteri; Cichliformes; Cichlidae.
AUGACGUCAUUCACGUAGAUUACUGAUUGGCAGCGCUAACUCGAAAUUUCGAGUUGCUUUUCUCAAAAUUUUGAGUUAAUAUGUCGAAAUUUCGAGAUAAUAACUCGAAAUUUCGAGAAAAUAACUCGGAAUUUUGAGUUAUGGAUCCUUUUUUUUUUUUUUAGUGGCGGAAACGGGCUUCCAUACUUUAAUGAGCAGAGUUCAGUGAUUCGCGUUACUCGGCUUGCGUUGCUUCAUUUAUGGGAGGAGCUGAAAAUGAUGACGUCCGAAGCCUCGCUGCCCGGCUGUACCACGUGACUGGUUCAGGAAGUGGUUCAAACUUUGCCGCGAGCUAUGACAGCGAUAUAAACCCCGCAGACUUCAUUCAAAAUGUGGGUGUUUGAUGGAGAGUUGUGGUUAGUGAGAGUUUGGAGACAGUUUGGAGGUUUAUGAGAGUGAGGAGAGAAAGUCAGGAGAGAAUGGAGCCAGCUAAGAAGAGGAGGAUGUCCUCCCCUGUGUGGGAACAUUUGAUCUUAUUCCUCCCAACAAGGUGAAGUGUUUGCUAUGUGCCAGGGAGCUGGGAUAUAACAACAACACCUCAUCCAUGCUUAGGCACUACAGAGCUUUGCAUGAGAAUAAGGGGGACACCGAUUGUGGAGCAAGACCAGGAGAACAAUCUCAAAUAGAUGAAGACCUGGUUAGCAUGGUGAUUGAGGACUCCCAGCCAUUUAGCAUUGUGGAGGACAAAGGAUUUAAAAGAUUUGUUAAAUCAUUA